This 2992-nucleotide long non-coding RNA is filed under the name Capsicum annuum. RNAcentral's name for it is "long non-coding RNA (CANN_LNC015987)". Lineage: Eukaryota; Viridiplantae; Streptophyta; Magnoliopsida; Solanales; Solanaceae. The record is from RNAcentral.
AAUUACUUCCUUUGCUUGACUUGAACGUUUUCUAAGUUUCAAAUACAUAUAUAUAAUAAAUAUACAAACAUAGAUCUAUAUAUAGAGCCACUCAAAUUGUGGUAUCAUGAUGAGAAGGUGAGUUUUGAGCAAGAUGGAGAAGCAGGGUACGUGCUUUACUAACUCAUGUAUUUUGUAGUUAUUUGGUGGAAUUAAAAUCUAGGUUUUAUAAUCAGUAAGUUCAAAACGAAUGAGCAUUAACAUAAUAUAGUUGAAAAAAUAUAGCAUGCUGGGACAAAUUCAAAAUUUAAACUUAGGAGUUUAACCUUCAAAAUAUUUACCACCCAACAUGUUGCAUUAUAAAUUGAGCCUUUGAUGUGUGUGUAUACUUAUAUAUAUAUUGAAAUUACAGUAACUUUUCACAUGUAUAUUAAACAUAUAUACAUAAUUUCAAUCGAAAACAAUAAAAUUCAGUUGAACUAUAUGCCACAUAAAUUAAUAUGAGUACUAUAUGCUGCAGUACUAAAAGGGAAACUAGUAUUACUGGCCUUGUACGAAUACUAGCUAGUAUACUAAUCGUACAUAAAUAGAUAGAAUCAGCUUACAAUACUAAGAAAGUAUUGCCUAUAGACGAGAAUUAGCUCCCGAGGUAGUCUAAUACUAGUAGUAAAUGUUCUGAAUGAUGUGUUAAAUGAGUUAGUUCUUCAUGUGCCCAUCUUCCCCAUCAUGACAACUCAACCUUAUUAUUAUCUGAAUAUGAUCGCCCUGCCAAAGCAUUUGCAGUUAGCUCUCUUCCCAUCAUUGGCAGGUAAGUGGCUUCCUUCAUUUUUCAUAUUUUAACCGCCCCAAAAAACGCCUACAUUCAUAUUUCCUUCAUAUUAAUUUGUUUGUUCUAUUUUUCUUUUUAGGAUGUUUCAGAAAGAACAUCUCUUUUCUUAAUUUUUUGACGACACCUUUACUUGAACUUUCCACAUCACAUGUUAUACAUUCUAAUUAUAUAUUUUUAGUUUAAAAUUAUAUCAUUUAAAAGUUUUCUUUAUUUUUUUAAAUCUCAGAUCAAGUUAGAACUGGAUAAAUAAAUUGAAACUGAGGAAUAUAUGUUUUUCUCCUUGCAUGAGAUAGAAAAUCUAAGCGUUUAAUGGUCAUGUAUGAUUUUCAAGAAUAAUUCUGUCAAUGGUAAUGGAAGAUGUAUUAAAAGAUAGGCAUUUGAAUUUUGAGUGAUAGAGUGGUGUAAAUUAGAAUCAAAGAACUUUUUUUAUAAGAAAGUAUCUGCUUCAACUUGACCUCUUGAAUCUAUUUGUGUGUGUUUUCCAAAUUGAAUAUUAUAUUAAAAUAUCAAUGUUUGACUUCAUUAUAAUUAGAAAUCUGGAAAAAAGUUAUUGGAAUUAUAAAAUUAAGGAUUAGGAUUAUUUGAUAGUCAAAAACUUGGUGGAAGCUAGCUAGAAAAUCUGCACCGGCCAGUCCACAUUGAUGGUGGCAUGAUAAUAUAUGUAUGAUUAUAAAAUAAAACAAAUAGUAGAACUUAAAAGAAAAUUUAUUUCUUCAUAUCUUUUUUCUUAAAAAUUGGAUAAUACAUUACAAACCACGAGUACUAAUUGCUUUAAGCCAGAAUCCAGUGCUUUGUGAAAUAACUUCCCACCAACUAGGACCGAAAAGAAAAAGAGAAAAAAAAGGAAGCUUUGCAAGGAUAAUUAAUAUUGCCUAAAAUUGGUUUCAAUUUUCACAUGCAUCUAAGUAGGUCGAACGACCAAAACAAAAGUUCCAUGUGUUUUCAUUGUGUUUAGUCUAAUCAAAUUGUAUUACGAAAAAUCCAACUUUCAAGUGAAAGAGAACCAAAAAAAAAUUAUAAGUGAUUAUUUGAGAAAUCAAUUCAACAAAAGAAAAAAUAGACAAUCCUGCAGUACCAUUAUAUAUGAAAGGAUUUGAGGCGGAUUCAAAUAUCAAAGCAUUAUUAAUAGAACUCUCUAUUUAUCAUUAAGAAUUUCUCCUUUCUGUUACGUAAAAAUUUGAAUUCCAUAGUACUAAGAUUGGAUUUAGAUACUUUCACAUUCUCUAAAAUGCUAAUUAAAGAAUAUUAAGAAAUUACAUGAAAUUAUAUUUGUACAAACUUAAACUUUACAUUUCAAUAUAGUUAACAACAUUAUAAAUAUUGAUGAUCUAAUGUGCGGAAAAAACUCAGGAUAUUGUAUGCUAAUUAUAUAGUGCUUGAAUUUUAUACACACAAAGAAAAGAUGCCUAAUUGGCAAUGUGUCCUCUCCAUCUAGGAAAGCAAUACCUUUUUGUCUUGCUUUAUCUAUGCUCCUUCCACUAUAUCAUAAUAAGUUAGGAUUCUGAAUUCAAUCCUUGUAUGUUUCUAACUUUCCUUUCCCAUUUCAAUGUGAUUAGAUUUAAUUAAUUAUAGUAGAUUUUAAUCCCCUUGUAUUUGGCUUGAGUCAAGGGUCCAUAUAGUAUCUUUCUCGAAAAAAGGAUGGACUUCUGUUGAGGCAUUGAAUCUUUAAAGAAUUUUGAUCAGCACUUUGAAUUGUUCAUGAGAAAGAUAUCUCUCCCUUCUUGUUGAAGACCUUUGGAGAAGGAGGAGACUUCUGCAGAUGUCGUUGCUCUUCUAUGUCUCUUGUCAAAAUACAAUGCUUAUUUCCAGAUCACUUCAAGAGGGGAUGUGUAACCCCUUUAUAUCUCGAUGUAAGUUGGAGCUUGAGGGUAUCGUGGUCCCAAAUAAUUCUAUCAAUCCUUGGGCUUAAAGAACAGAAAGAAGAGAAGGAAUUUUGGGAGAAUAUUGUUUGUAUUAUUGUGUGUUUUAUAAUGUAUACAUGUCUGUCUUAUAUAGAAAACUCUAUACACGUUCAAUGCUCAAGAAAAGAUUUCUAUCUGAACUUCUACACAAUGGAGAUAAACCCCUACUAGACUUCUACAAAAUAGUGAUAGACUCCUAAUGACAAUAUGUAAUUCUAAUGUCUUAUUUUUAAUGGUCAAAAAAUUCUGAAAACAAAUCUAUUCAAAUACAAGCUGACACACG